This is a long non-coding RNA of Marmota flaviventris (yellow-bellied marmot), 423 nucleotides long. RefSeq lists it as uncharacterized. The record is from RefSeq and is a predicted model, not a curated record. Lineage: Eukaryota; Metazoa; Chordata; Mammalia; Rodentia; Sciuridae.
AGUUGAUGUUCUUCCUGGUGAAGAGCUCUGAGGCGGCCCCAAAGACGCUCACUUCCUUGGCGCCUGCAGCCACCUGCCAAAAUCCAGGGCCUCACUAAGUUGCUGAGACUGGCCUCCUGCCUCAGUCUCCCAAGUCCCUGGGGUCACAGGUGUGUGCCACUGCAACCGCUGACUGGUACUUAAAAGAACAUGGCUAUGUGACGACGCAGAGCGAAGACCACAUGAAGCUGGAGGCAGGCCCUGCAGUGAUGGAUGUCCAAGCCCUGCAAUGCCCAGGACCGCUGGCACACCAGGGACCAAGAGAAAAGCCUGGAACAGGUUCUCUCUGAGAAGCCCUCAGAAGAAGCCAAUCCUGCUGACACCUUGAUUUUGGACUUCUGGCUUCCAGAAUUUGAGAGAAUAAAUAAAUUUCUGUUGUUUUAA